RNAcentral lists this ribosomal RNA (1346 nucleotides) under uncultured bacterium. Its description in RNAcentral is "bacterial SSU rRNA". It matches the Rfam family "Bacterial small subunit ribosomal RNA", at positions 28 to 1381 of the family's 1533-position model. The record is from RNAcentral.
GACGAACGCUGGCGGCGUGCUUAACACAUGCAAGUCGAACGGAAAGGCCCUGCUUUUGUGGGGUGCUCGAGUGGCGAACGGGUGAGUAACACGUGAGUAACCUGCCCUUGACUUUGGGAUAACUUCAGGAAACUGGGGCUAAUACCGGAUAGGAGCUCCUGCUGCAUGGUGGGGGUUGGAAAGUUUCGGCGGUUGGGGAUGGACUCGCGGCUUAUCAGCUUGUUGGUGGGGUAGUGGCUUACCAAGGCUUUGACGGGUAGCCGGCCUGAGAGGGUGACCGGCCACAUUGGGACUGAGAUACGGCCCAGACUCCUACGGGAGGCAGCAGUGGGGAAUAUUGCACAAUGGGCGGAAGCCUGAUGCAGCAACGCCGCGUGCGGGAUGACGGCCUUCGGGUUGUAAACCGCUUUCGCCUGUGACGAAGCGUGAGUGACGGUAAUGGGUAAAGAAGCACCGGCUAACUACGUGCCAGCAGCCGCGGUGAUACGUAGGGUGCGAGCGUUGUCCGGAUUUAUUGGGCGUAAAGAGCUCGUAGGUGGUUGAUCGCGUCGGAAGUGUAAUCUUGGGGCUUAACCCUGAGCGUGCUUUCGAUACGGGUUGACUUGAGGAAGGUAGGGGAGAAUGGAAUUCCUGGUGGAGCGGUGGAAUGCGCAGAUAUCAGGAGGGACACCAGUGGCGAAGGCGGUUCUCUGGGCCUUUCCUGACGCUGAGGAGCGAAAGCGUGGGGAGCGAACAGGCUUAGAUACCCUGGUAGUCCACGCUGUAAACGGUGGGUACUAGGUGUGGGGUCCAUUCCACGGGUUCCGUGCCGUAGCUAACGCUUUAAGUACCCCGCCUGGGGAGUACGGCCGCAAGGCUAAAACUCAAAGGAAUUGACGGGGCCCCGCACAAGCGGCGGAGCAUGCGGAUUAAUUCGAUGCAACGCGUAGAACCUUACCUGGGUUUGACAUGGAUCGGGAGCGCUCAGAGAUGGGUGUGCCUCUUUUGGGGUCGGUUCACAGGUGGUGCAUGGCUGUCGUCAGCUCGUGUCGUGAGAUGUUGGGUUAAGUCCCGCAACGAGCGCAACCCUUGUUCACUGUUGCCAGCACGUUAUGGUGGGGACUCAGUGGAGACCGCCGGGGUCAACCCGGAGGAAGGUGGGGAUGACGUCAAGUCAUCAUGCCCCUUAUGUCCAGGGCUUCACGCAUGCUACAAUGGCUGGUACAGAGAGUGGCGAGCCUGUGAGGGUGAGCGAAUCUCGGAAAGCCGGUCUCAGUUCGGAUUGGGGUCUGCAACUCGACCUCAUGAAGUCGGAGUCGCUAGUAAUCGCAGAUCAGCAACGCUGCGGUGAAUACGUUCCCGGGGCU